AUAUCAAUAAGCGGAGGAAAAGAAACCAACAGGGAUUGCCUCAGUAACGGCGAGUGAAGCGGCAAGAGCUCAACUUUGGAAUCGCUGCGGCGAGUUGUAGUCUGGAGGUGGCCGGUCCCGGCGCCAGCGCGCAGCCAAGUCCUUUGGAACAAGGCGCCUGAGAGGGUGACAGCCCCGUGGCAGUUUGUGCUGGUGCCGCCUCGGCCCACCGACGAGUCGAGUUGUUUGGGAAUGCAGCUCUAAGUGGGUGGUAAAUUCCAUCUAAAGCUAAAUACCGGCGAGAGACCGAUAGCGAACAAGUACAGUAAUGGAAAGAUGAAAAGCACUUUGAAAAGAGAGUGAAACAGUACGUGAAAUUGUUGAAAGGGAAGGGCUUGCACCCAGACACGGCCUUCUGGCCGGGCCAGCAUCGGGUGGGAGGGAGCGACAACGAGCAGUCGAUGUAGUACAGCCCUCUGGGCUGUGCAUUAUACGUCUUGCUUUCUGGCUCCUCUCCCGCCCGAGGACCGCAGCAAUAAGGAUGCUGGCGCAAUGGUU
This 537-nucleotide ribosomal RNA is filed under the name [Candida] sp. BG02-7-21-004L-C-2. RNAcentral describes it as "eukaryotic LSU rRNA". It matches the Rfam family "Eukaryotic large subunit ribosomal RNA", at positions 40 to 639 of the family's 3401-position model. Lineage: Eukaryota; Fungi; Ascomycota; Saccharomycetes; Saccharomycetales. The record is from RNAcentral.